AUUUUAAGAUAGGCAUUGCAUUAAAGCCCACAACAAUACUAUCUACACCCCACCUUCCUGACUGGAUUUAAUAGUGACCACAGUUUCUUAGUUGCCUAGAAGUGUAUUUUUUAAAAAACCAAUUAAAUACACAUACAACAUCAUUAUUACCUAACUAGUGCUUAUCCUUUGUUUCUCUGUUUUCUUAGGAUGUGUAUUUUUAAUUUAGGAUUAUAACUCCUGAUAAUGUUUCUGUGAGCCUUUCAUGUGAUUUAUAGGAAGACUGGGUUAUUGCUAUCACCAUUAUACCUCUUUUGUAA
Molecule: long non-coding RNA, 299 nt
Filed under: Bos taurus (domestic cattle)
Lineage: Eukaryota; Metazoa; Chordata; Mammalia; Artiodactyla; Bovidae
Description: long non-coding RNA NONBTAT027030
Source: RNAcentral